UGGGGAAUCUUCCGCAAUGGACGAAAGUCUGACGGAGCAACGCCGCGUGAGUGAAGAAGGUUUUCGGAUCGUAAAACUCUGUCUUUUGGGGCGAACGUGAGUAUGGUGAACAAUCAUAGUCAGUGACGGUACCAAAGGAGGAAGCCACGGCUAACUACGUGCCAGCAGCCGCGGUAAUACGUAGGUGGCAAGCGUUGUCCGGAAUUAUUGGGCGUAAAGAGCGCGUAGGCGGGAUAGUCAGUCUGUUGUAAAAGUGCGGGGCUCAACCCCGUGAUCGCAAUGGAAACAGCUAUUCUUGAGUGCAGGAGAGGAAAGUGGAAUUCCCAGUGUAGCGGUGAAAUGCGUAGAUAUUGGGAGGAACACCAGUGGCGAAGGCGACUUUCUGGACUGUGUCUGACGCUGAGGCGCGAAAGCCAGGGGAGCGAACGGGAUUUAGAUACCCCCGGUAGUCCUGGCCGUAAACGAUGGGUACUAGGUGUGGGAGGUAUCGACCCCCUUCCGUGCCGGAGUUAACGCAAUAAGUACCCCGCCUGGGGAGUACGGUCGCAAGACUGAAACUCAAAUGAAUUGACGGGGUCAUAGCUGUUCCUG
This 591-nucleotide ribosomal RNA is filed under the name uncultured bacterium. RNAcentral's name for it is "partial 16S ribosomal RNA". It matches the Rfam family "Bacterial small subunit ribosomal RNA", at positions 355 to 1376 of the family's 1533-position model. The record is from RNAcentral.